UUAAAACACAUACUAUUCG
Molecule: microRNA, 19 nt
Filed under: Schistosoma mansoni
Lineage: Eukaryota; Metazoa; Platyhelminthes; Trematoda; Strigeidida; Schistosomatidae
Description: sma-miR-8477-3p
Source: miRBase by way of RNAcentral